UACGGAGGGUGCAAGCGUUACUCGGAAUUACUGGGCGUAAAGAGCGUGUAGGCGGGUAAAUAAGUUGGAAGUGAAAUCCUAUGGCUCAACCAUAGAACUGCUUCCAAAACUGUUAACCUAGAAUGUGGGAGAGGUAGAUGGAAUUUCUGGUGUAGGGGUAAAAUCCGUAGAUAUCAGAAGGAAUACCGAUUGCGAAGGCGAUCUACUGGAACACAAUUGACGCUGAGACGCGAAAGCGUGGGGAGCAAAC
RNAcentral lists this ribosomal RNA (250 nucleotides) under uncultured bacterium. RNAcentral describes it as "partial 16S ribosomal RNA". It matches the Rfam family "Bacterial small subunit ribosomal RNA", at positions 524 to 773 of the family's 1533-position model. The record is from RNAcentral.